RNAcentral lists this ribosomal RNA (337 nucleotides) under uncultured bacterium. RNAcentral describes it as "partial 16S ribosomal RNA". It matches the Rfam family "Bacterial small subunit ribosomal RNA", at positions 338 to 692 of the family's 1533-position model. The record is from RNAcentral.
CCUACGGGAGGCUGCAGUAGGGAAUAUUGCUCAAUGGGGGAAACCCUGAAGCAGCAACGCCGCGUGGAGGAUGAAGGUUUUCGGAUUGUAAACUCCUUUUGUUAGAGAAGAUAAUGACGGUAUCUAACGAAUAAGCACCGGCUAACUCCGUGCCAGCAGCCGCGGUAAUACGGAGGGUGCAAGCGUUACUCGGAAUCACUGGGCGUAAAGAGCGCGUAGGCGGGAUAGCAAGUCAGAUGUGAAAUCCGAUGGCUUAACCAUAGAACUGCAUUUGAAACGGUUAUUCUAGAGUUUGGUAGAGGUAGGUGGAAUUCUUAGUGUAGCGGUCACAUCCGUA